UCCUCGGUCUGAACGAGAUUGUUUCAUUUGUUGUUGGGAUCCUUUUCUUCCUACAGGAAGCAAGGAAAUCUAUUUUCAGCAAUAUGGACGAUGGAAUAUUGAUCGGAUUUGGAGAGAUGAUGUCUUACCUUGUCGUGUUUAUCUUCGACACUGUGUGUUGGCAGCAAAAAAUCUUGGCGACGAGGCUUACAACAAUUUCAUGGAUCACACCUAUCUAGCCGACCGUAAAACAACAAUUCGCGAGUAUCUGGCAACAACGGGUUCUGGGAUCAUGGAAGAGGAACCUCCAGUUUCCCUCAAGCAACGCUAUGGUGGUUGAUAAUCUAAUCCAAAUUGUAGUUGUCCAUUUGCUGCAAAAAUAUGGUCUUUCUGAUGUGUUGGGUGGUGGCAGAAAGAAAGAUGUGUUCGCCGUCAUGAUGUUUAUGGUUGAUGGAACAUUCUUGGCCUAAAUAUACUUGUGAUCUUUCUUGCAUGAAUUUUUCCCUAUGUUUCUUAAAUUUGAUUGAUUACAAUUAGGUUCUUCAAAAA
This is a long non-coding RNA of Neltuma alba, 528 nucleotides long. RefSeq lists it as uncharacterized. The record is from RefSeq and is a predicted model, not a curated record. NCBI's taxonomy places the organism in Eukaryota, Viridiplantae, Streptophyta, Magnoliopsida, Fabales, Fabaceae. The transcript has 2 exons.